GGGAAGGCCCCCACGAAGUUUGAGUCAAAUAAAAAAAAUACAAAAAUAUAAAUGGUCGAAAUCGGCCGAUUUCGUAGAGAGUUGCUCUGCUGUAUGAUUUCUCAAAAGCCAAAAAACUAACCAACUUUUACAAACUGUACCGAUGUUUUUAUUUAUGCAUUCAACUCAUUUUGUUGAGAACUAAAAUAGCUUACUAGACCACUAAAUUCACUUGAACAUUCAGCAUCAACCGUAACAUUCCCGUUAUUUUCUGAUGGAGCUGUAGGAGAUUCCACUGGUUGAUCUUCAGCAUUUACAGGUUCAAAAGUGAAUGAUUGGCGUGACGAUGAUUCGUGGAGUCCACUUGAAGAUGAUAAUGAACCCGUAUUGAUAUUGGCAGCUGGUUGCGCCCUUUGUGGAAAAUUUGAUGAUGGAGCGUAUGCACCUAUGGAUUAUACAAAAAGUCGAAACCCAAGGAUGUCGGAUGAGGAUGACCCGGAUGACACACUAAAUUACACAACUUGCGCGUAGGGAAUGGGUAAGAAGGACAGAAUGAGAGCCACACUGAAAGCCCAACCAUAGCAAUUGUAUAUUGUAGAGGUAAAUUAAGAAUAUGCACCGACGUAUUGACAAUGAACUGUGUCCUACAAGCACUGUCUACGCCCCACGGUGUCAAAUCAGAAUUUCGCGAAGCGAAAGUGCAACAAAAUUGUGUAAUCGUUCAAACAUUUAUAUCUUCAAACAAAAUCAAGCAAUCUUUAUGUUUUACCUACCAAACGAAAGGCACCGAUCCACGUAGCCCAGUGGUAACGCUUCCGCCUCGUAAGUGGUAGAUCGGGGUUCAAAUCCCGGUUCGGACCAACACAACUGGAGAUCUAUUCCCUGCUGGAUUUCGAUUUCGAUAGAGUUUUAUGCUCCAGACCCCAAGUUGUCGGAUGAUACAAAUAAAUAAACAACAAUAAACAACUACACAUUAGGGAAGGCGACCUAUAGAAUGUUAAAAUUAACCUUAACAUGUUAACAUUAAGUUAAUAAAUAGCCACUGAAUCCAGGGGCAGGACACACC
Molecule: long non-coding RNA, 1045 nt
Organism: Culex quinquefasciatus (southern house mosquito)
Lineage: Eukaryota; Metazoa; Arthropoda; Insecta; Diptera; Culicidae
Exons: 2
Source: RefSeq, a predicted model, not a curated record